CCUACGGGAGGCAGCAGUAGGGAAUCUUCCACAAUGGGCGAAAGCCUGAUGGAGCAACGCCGCGUGGGUGAAGAAGGUCUUCGGAUCGUAAAACCCUGUUGUUAGAGAAGAAAGUGCGUGAGAGUAACUGUUCACGUUUCGACGGUAUGUAACCAGAAAGCCACGGCUAACUACGUGCCACCAGCGGCGGUAAUACGUAGGUGGCAAGCGUUAUCCGGAUUUAUUGGGCUUAAAGGGAACGCAGGCGGUCUUUUAAGUCUGAUGUGAAAGCCUUCGGCUUAACCGGAGUAGUGCAUUGGAAACUGGGAGACUUGAGUGCAGAAGAGGAAAGUGGAACUCCAUGUGUAGCGGUGAAAUGCGUAGAUAUAAGGAAGAACACCAGUGGCGAAGGCGGCUCUCUAGUCUGUAACUGACGCUGAGGUUCGAAAGCGUGGGUAGCAAACAGGAUUAGAUACCCGGGUAGUC
RNAcentral lists this ribosomal RNA (465 nucleotides) under uncultured bacterium. RNAcentral's name for it is "partial 16S ribosomal RNA". It matches the Rfam family "Bacterial small subunit ribosomal RNA", at positions 338 to 795 of the family's 1533-position model. The record is from RNAcentral.